GGCCUACCAUGGUGGUAACGGGUAACGGGGUGUUAGGGCACGACACCGGAGAGGGAGCCUGAGAAACGGCUACCACAUCCAAGGAUGGCAGCAGGCGCGCAAAUUACCCAAUCCCGACACGGGGAGGUAGUGACAAUAAAUAACAAUACGGGGUUCUUUCGGAUCUCGUAAUUGGAAUGAGUACAAUUUAAAUCUCUUAACGAGGAACAAUUGGAGGGCAAGUCUGGUGCCAGCAGCCGCGGUAAUUCCAGCUCCAAUAGCGUAUAUUAAAGUUGUUGCAGUUAAAAAGCUCGUAGUUGAAUUUCGGGAUCAAUAUGUCUGUCGUGCCUUCGGUACGUACGGGUAUAAUUGGUUUCUACCUUCUGAUGAACCUUGAUGCCAUUAAUUUGGUGUCUUGGGGACUCAGGACUGUUACCUUGAAAAAAUUAGAGUGUUUAAAGCAGGCAUACGCUUGAAUACAUUAGCAUGGAAUAAUGAAAUAGGACGUUCGAUUCUAUUUUGUUGGUUUCUAGGAUCGACGUAAUGAUUAAUAGGGAUAGUUGGGGGCAUUAGUAUUCAAUUGUCAGAGGUGANUUCUUGGAUUUAUUGAAGACUAACUACUGCGAAAGCAUUUGCCAAGGAUGUUUUCAUUAAUCAAGAACGAAAGUUAGGGGAUCGAAGACGAUCAGAUACCGUCGUAGUCUUAACCAUAAACUAUGCCGACUAGGGAUCGGAUGAUGUUAAUUUUUUAAUGACUCAUUCGGCGCCUUACGGGAAACCAAAGUGUUUGGGUUC
Molecule: ribosomal RNA, 774 nt
Filed under: uncultured Glomus
Lineage: Eukaryota; Fungi; Glomeromycota; Glomeromycetes; Glomerales; Glomeraceae
Description: SSU rRNA
Rfam family: Eukaryotic small subunit ribosomal RNA
Source: RNAcentral